GCCCAAGGUUGCAGAGCAAAAAUUAUACCUGCCAUAGGAGUGAAAAGUACCAGGUUCUUAUCUCUGGGAUCUGAAGCCACAGCUUUCCUAAACAAGUUCUGGGCGGCAUGCAGGGCAUUAGCAGAAGAUUCCUUAGCUGGCAUCUUGGCCCAACUACUCCUACUGGCGAAGAAGGAUGGCCCCCACCCCUACCUUUGUGUAACUGCCUUGCUGAGAACAGACAUCAAGUGUCUGAGUUGGAGAGUGGGGUCUCGGCCUGGGUUACGUAAUCCCUUCCAGUAACAUGGAUAACCCUGGGCUCCAGCUUGGAAGACCCAUUGUGACCUUAAGUCAAUUAAAGGCCAAUGCUGAGCCCUUCAAUCAAAAAGAAAGAAUUCCAUCUCCUCUCCUGGCUUCACGGCAACUACUGAAAACCGCGUCCCCUGGGGGACAUGAAGAAAUCAUCUAAUAGCUGUGUGUUUUAUUUCGUUAUUUUUUUAAAAUAGCAAUAUCAUUUUUAAUAGCUAUGUUUUAUAAUCUUGUUAUGUUCUCGUUACAUUAGAUUAUUGCUUAUUAUUUUUUUCCUGGUUGGGAAUCACAGUUUUGACUGCCUUAACUCAUGGCAACAAAACCCCAGGGCAAGUCUCUCUGAAACACA
RNAcentral lists this long non-coding RNA (637 nucleotides) under Suricata suricatta (meerkat). Its description in RNAcentral is "lncRNA (ENSSSUG00005005955.1)". The record is from RNAcentral. Lineage: Eukaryota; Metazoa; Chordata; Mammalia; Carnivora; Herpestidae.